Long non-coding RNA from Vicia villosa (hairy vetch), 1155 nucleotides. RefSeq lists it as uncharacterized. The record is from RefSeq and is a predicted model, not a curated record. The transcript is spliced from 4 exons. NCBI's taxonomy places the organism in Eukaryota, Viridiplantae, Streptophyta, Magnoliopsida, Fabales, Fabaceae.
UGGAUAUCGGAAGCGCCGAUUUCCCUAACGCUUGUUCCGCCUUGAAAUCUCCUCUCGCCAAAUCACUCUUCGCUAUUGACGGUACUUCCCUCGCUCUAUCUUCAUUCCUUCUAAUUCUCUCGACAAUGCCCCAUCAUCAUCACGUAGUAGCAGGAGUGCUAUUGAGUUCACUCCCAGAGAGGGUUGGAAUAAUGAAAGGGUUGUUAUGCGGUGAAGGUUGCUGAUGGUGGAUGUUGUAGUUGAAGCUCAUAACUAAGUUGUGGAGGAAUGUUUGGAUGUUGCGAUUCAGUGAAGUAGAUGCAGAUUGUUGGGAAGUUGCGAGUUGAUGGGUUGAUUUUUGUUGAAGUUGGAAAGUACGGGUUUCGGUUCUGAUUGCAUUUUGGUGACACUAAAAGCGGGUUGAGUUCGAUUGGAAAAUGGGUGAGGAUGCGAAGUUUGUUGAAGGUGAAAACAAGUCCAGAUGUGAAGCCCAGGAAGAAUCAGGCUUCGGAAAACACAAUUCUCUCUCAUUUCCUUGGGAUUCUUUUCUCACUGAAAUUGUUGAGAUCAGUCACAUUACCGCCUUCAGAAGCUCUUCCAUUUCUCAAGUUUGCAUAAGCAUUUUAAGGCCCUCUUUGUUGGUGGUUGCAUCUUAUAUUUCCAAAUUGAAAAUUUGUUAAUAAGUGAGAAUCAUGAUAGCUCCUCAACAAUUCAAGAACCAUGAGCAGAUUAUCACAGUACCGGGGUUCACCGCACUGUUGACAGUUUGGGAAUGUUUGAGUUUGAACCUUGUCACCCUCAUAAUUGGUCCACAGUAAGUGUAAGAAUGGAGAAUUUUCAAAUUGCAACUCUGAAAAUGUUGUAUAUUAGGCCUGUCAUGCAAUAUAAUAGCUUUUUAAACUAAAAAUACUGGUUACAUGUCUGUCUGUUUAAUAAGAGAUAUUGCAGGGUUGGUUUUGGUUCUCUUGCGGGAUUCAUAUGUUAGUAGUGGGUUUAUAAGCAGAUAUUUAAUUGAUCUUUGCAAAACUCAGGAUUAGAAGCUAAAUUUUAAUAAUGCAUUUAAAAGUUAGCACAACUGCAUUACGCACAAAGUAUGGAUUUAACCUGAUUAUUUUUUUAAAAAAAUUGUUGGAAAUUUAGGUGUUAAAAAAGUGUACAUGUUUCUAGUUUAACUUA